UGGGGAAUAUUGGGCAAUGGGCGGAAGCCUGACCCAGCAACGCCGCGUGAAGGAAGAAGGCUUUCGGGUUGUAAACUUCUUUUAAGAGGGACGAAGGAAGUGACGGUACCUCUUGAAUAAGCCACGGCUAACUACGUGCC
Molecule: ribosomal RNA, 140 nt
Filed under: uncultured bacterium
Lineage: Bacteria
Description: partial 16S ribosomal RNA
Rfam family: Bacterial small subunit ribosomal RNA
Source: RNAcentral